RNAcentral lists this ribosomal RNA (777 nucleotides) under uncultured bacterium. RNAcentral describes it as "bacterial SSU rRNA". It matches the Rfam family "Bacterial small subunit ribosomal RNA", at positions 51 to 818 of the family's 1533-position model. The record is from RNAcentral.
ACACAUGCAAGUCGAGGGGCAGCAUCAUCAAAGCUUGCUUUGAUGGAUGGCGACCGGCGCACGGGUGAGUAACACGUAUCCAACCUGCCGACAACACUGGGAUAGCCUUUCGAAAGAAAGAUUAAUACCGGAUGGUAUAGUUUUCCCGCAUGGGAUGAUUAUUAAAGAAUUUCGGUUGUCGAUGGGGAUGCGUUCCAUUAGGCAGUUGGCGGGGUAACGGCCCACCAAACCUACGAUGGAUAGGGGUUCUGAGAGGAAGGUCCCCCACAUUGGAACUGAGACACGGUCCAAACUCCUACGGGAGGCAGCAGUGAGGAAUAUUGGUCAAUGGACGAGAGUCUGAACCAGCCAAGUAGCGUGAAGGAUGACUGCCCUAUGGGUUGUAAACUUCUUUUAUACGGGAAUAAAGUGAGCCACGUGUGGCUUUUUGUAUGUACCGUAUGAAUAAGGAUCGGCUAACUCCGUGCCAGCAGCCGCGGUAAUACGGAGGAUCCGAGCGUUAUCCGGAUUUAUUGGGUUUAAAGGGAGCGUAGGCGGGUUGUUAAGUCAGUUGUGAAAGUUUGCGGCUCAACCGUAAAAUUGCAGUUGAUACUGGCGACCUUGAGUGCAACAGAGGUAGGCGGAAUUCGUGGUGUAGCGGUGAAAUGCUUAGAUAUCACGAAGAACUCCGAUUGCGAAGGCAGCUUACUGGAUUGUAACUGACGCUGAUGCUCGAAAGUGUGGGUAUCAAACAGGAUUAGAUACCCUGGUAGUCCACACAGUAAACGAUGAAUACUC